GUGAUUGGUCGUCUGGGAAGGAUCGGCCAUGGCGAACUACGGGACUGGAGUAUUUUGCUAAGCAGGAGGAAUCUGCAGUCUCUGAGCCGCCGUUUGAAGGAAAUGUGUAGGAUGUGUGGCAUCUCAGCUGCCGACACUCCCAGCAUCCUUAGUGCUUGCCUUGUGGCCAUGGAGCCUCAGGGUUCCUUCAUGAUCAUGCCAGAUUCGGUGUCCACAGGCUCUGUGUUUGGCCGAAGCACUACACUAAACAUGCAGACAUCCCAGCUACACACACCUCAGGACACAUCUUGCACACACAUCCUAGUGUUCCCCACCUCCGCUGUUGUCCAGGUCAACAGCUCCAACUACAAUACAGAGGAAAUCAGUUUUA
This is a long non-coding RNA of Scleropages formosus (Asian bonytongue), 370 nucleotides long. RefSeq lists it as uncharacterized. The transcript is spliced from 3 exons. The record is from RefSeq and is a predicted model, not a curated record. Lineage: Eukaryota; Metazoa; Chordata; Actinopteri; Osteoglossiformes; Osteoglossidae.